RNAcentral lists this transfer RNA (32 nucleotides) under Equus caballus (horse). RNAcentral describes it as "partial tRNA-Phe". The record is from RNAcentral. Lineage: Eukaryota; Metazoa; Chordata; Mammalia; Perissodactyla; Equidae.
GUUAAUGUAGCUUAAUAAUAUAAAGCAAGGCA